GGUUGCGAUCAUACCAGCACUAAUGCACCGGAUCCCAUCAGAACUCUACAGUUAAGCGUGUUUGGGCGAGAGUAGUACUAGGAUGGGUGACCCCCUGGGAAGUCCUCGUGUUGCAACCCC
Molecule: ribosomal RNA, 120 nt
Filed under: Helianthus annuus (common sunflower)
Lineage: Eukaryota; Viridiplantae; Streptophyta; Magnoliopsida; Asterales; Asteraceae
Source: RNAcentral